GUUUCUCCCAUCUAACAAUGUUCUUAUUUCGAAACCCUAUUUCUCUCCCCAUCUUCAUCGCCCCUUGUGGCUAUUAGCUUCAUCUUCAGGAGUCCCUAUUCUAUCGCGAUUUUAGUUUUUACAAUCUUUUUCUUGUCUUCCAUUUUCCGAAUCAAGUAGCAAUUAUUACAAAAUUGCUCCAGUCGUUCUGCUUUCUUUCUAUUACCUUUGGAAAUUUCAGAGAAAGUUUUCCCUCCCUCCAUUUCCCCCUGUCAUCAACCAAGAGCUGAUCUCCAGUCGACAAAUUGGUUACCUACUUGGUAAACUCCAAUGACAAAUAGCGUGAGAGAUCUACAAAACCCAGGCUAAAGGCUGAUCAUAGGUUCAACGAACACUUUGUAAAGGCAAGGUCACCUUUUCCAUCUCCAGAAAUGGAGUCCAGAAACGUUGUCCGGAAACAACCAACAGUACAAAUGCUGCUGAACCAGAUUCUUUAUUACAUUGGUGAUCCAUGUUUUGGUAUCAGUAUAUGUUAUGGAAUCAUUUUAGUGUGUGGAAUGGGAGGAUUGGGCAAGAAAUCUUCUUAUAAACUUUAUGAUAUUAUGAUCAUCGUUAUUACUCAUGCAACUUUAAAUCAAAAGUCACGGGGAAGAAAGAUUAUAAAAAUAUCUAUCCCAGUAUUGAGCCAUUUUUUCCCCCUUCCUCCACGCUCCAGUAACGAGGAGCACUCCGACUUGUCAAACGGACUUGUUUGUUACUUCAGGGCUCUAGAACCACCGGAAUUCAUAACCCGCACGAACAAGUUGGUCACUUCAACAGCUUCCCUCAUACUACUGUUAUACAUCAAUAUGUUCUUAAGAAGAUAACAUAGGGCUUAGGGCUUUAUGAUUAGAACCAGAACCACCGGAAUUUAUAUGACCCUCAGACAAGUUGGCCACUUCAACAGCUUCACUCUUACUACUCCUGGUACGUAGUUUAAUUGUUUGAGGAAAUUUCCUUUUCUUUUUUUCUAACAUGAAAUCAAAUACUCAUAUCACAAAGAUCACAUAAAUGCUUAAAAUAAGAAAAUUUCUUAUAAAUUUUAUGAUAUUACCGUCAUCAUUAUUACUCAUGCAACUUUAAAUCAAAAUUCAUGGAGAAGAAAGAUUAUAAAAA
Macadamia integrifolia is the source of this 1134-nucleotide long non-coding RNA. RefSeq lists it as uncharacterized. The transcript has 3 exons. Lineage: Eukaryota; Viridiplantae; Streptophyta; Magnoliopsida; Proteales; Proteaceae. The record is from RefSeq and is a predicted model, not a curated record.